RNAcentral lists this RNase P RNA (393 nucleotides) under Fluviirhizobium alvei. RNAcentral's name for it is "RNase P RNA component class A". It matches the Rfam family "Bacterial RNase P class A". Rfam says of the family: Ribonuclease P (RNase P) is a ubiquitous endoribonuclease, found in archaea, bacteria and eukarya as well as chloroplasts and mitochondria. Its best characterised activity is the generation of mature 5'-ends of tRNAs by cleaving the 5'-leader elements of precursor-tRNAs. Cellular RNase Ps are ribonucleoproteins. Lineage: Bacteria; Pseudomonadati; Pseudomonadota; Alphaproteobacteria; Hyphomicrobiales; Rhizobiaceae. The record is from RNAcentral.
CCAGUUGGCCGGGCAGCCGCGCUUUGCAAUGGUCGAAAGGCCGCAGGGUGAGGAAAGUCCGGGCUCCACGGAAACACGGCGCCGGAUAACGUCCGGCGGGGGCGACCCCAGGGAAAGUGCCACAGAAAACAGACCGCCCGGCUUGCCGGGUCAGGGUGAAAAGGUGGGGUAAGAGCCCACCGCGGGACUGGCAACAGGACCGGCAUGGUAAACCCCGCCGGGAGCAAGACCGAAUAGGGAUGACAUGUGCGCGCAAGCGCCAGGCCUGUUUCCGGGUCCGUCGUCCGGGUGGGUUGCGCGAGGCGUUGUGCAAACAGCGUCCCAGAUGAAUGGCUGCCACGUUCCGGCACAACCGGAGCCAUACAGAACCCGGCUUACAGGCCAACUGGCUUU